GCAAACUUGGUCAUUUAGAGGAAGUAAAAGUCGUAACAAGGUUUCCGUAGGUGAACCUGCGGAAGGAUCAUUAGUGAAUAUAGCGUGUCUUGCCCUCGAGCAGAGCGCGACCUCUCACUUUUACACACUGUGCACUUUAAAAAAUGUGGAACUUGGACUCGAAAGCUCUUACCGGCUCUAGAGGACUGUUCUGCGACUUUUUAUUUAAACACGAGUUAAUGUAUGUCUUUAUUUUUUACAAAACAAAGAAAAACUUUCAACAACGGAUCUCUUGGCUCUCGCAUCGAUGAAGAACGCAGC
This 300-nucleotide unclassified non-coding RNA is filed under the name uncultured fungus. Its description in RNAcentral is "partial contains small subunit ribosomal RNA, internal transcribed spacer 1, and 5.8S ribosomal RNA". The stretch from base 1 to 73 matches the Rfam family "Eukaryotic small subunit ribosomal RNA", at positions 1759 to 1831 of the family's 1831-position model. Lineage: Eukaryota; Fungi. The record is from RNAcentral.